RNAcentral lists this microRNA (23 nucleotides) under Homo sapiens (human). RNAcentral describes it as "hsa-miR-6849-5p". The record is from miRBase by way of RNAcentral. Lineage: Eukaryota; Metazoa; Chordata; Mammalia; Primates; Hominidae.
GAGUGGAUAGGGGAGUGUGUGGA